UAGUGGUUUUUGUGUGUCGGUAUUUUCGCUUGCAGCCAGAGAAUGGUGAGAAUCUGCCGCCUAAUAAAAUCCUCCAAACCUUGUUUGUAGCUUAUCCAUUGGGCUGCACAAUUUUAAGUAGCGGUUAUCUGGGU
Molecule: non-coding RNA, 134 nt
Filed under: uncultured Helicobacter sp.
Lineage: Bacteria; Pseudomonadati; Campylobacterota; Epsilonproteobacteria; Campylobacterales; Helicobacteraceae
Description: purD RNA motif
Rfam family: purD RNA motif
Source: RNAcentral